GAGGGGAAAGGCAUAGAGAAAAAGGGGAGAAGACACUCUUGCAAAAGAAGGGAGAAACAGAAGCAAUAGCUCCUUACAUUUCCUCAGAAAGGGAGAGUGAGAAAGCUUGAUUAUUUUCUAGGAAAUGGUAUGUAGAAAGGUUUGGCAGGAGGUGAGUUUAUGAGGGAAUUUGAAAGUAUUAAAGGGAAAAUUACUUCUCUGAAAAAGCAAGAAGAGUACAGAGACACAAGAGCCAAGGAGAAGAAAGUUUUGUUAUGAACAUGCUUGAAGUUUUGCCGACAUUCUGGACAUAUGUAAACAGAGUGCUCAAUGGAACAUCUGUCUGCUGCAGCCACUACUUCCUUCAUUGGACUGCAAGGUAUUUCUGUUUGGAAAAGUAAUGGAGUCCAGUCAACUUCAUUGAUCGCCAAGGACUGUCAAAAUUAUAAAACUUGCUGUGGAGCUCUGACAUGCCAGAAGCCGCUAGAAAAAGAAGUUUGACAUUCAGAAACUUAUCAAGAGGUUCUACUCUUUGGAUAGAGACCAAAAUCAUACUUUGAAAAAGCCUGACAGGUUUCUUCGGAAAAGUGGCCAUCCAUGGAAUGAAUGAAAUGUUCUCUUUCUAUUCCAGGGAUUGCAGUGGCAAAGCUAGGCUAGGUCUUGGAGGCUGGUGUAAGGCGAUGUGGGUGAAGGCAGGAGGCUGAUGGAAAGACUGGGGGGAAGAAAAGCCGAAAUGGAUUCACGGUGCCUUGGAUGAAGGACGAGAGGGGAACUGCAAGCUCCUUCAACUGGUUCUGUCCGGUGAGAAGUGAUCAAGCUUGGGCUGACAAGAGGCUCAGGGAGCCCUCACGUUCUUUCGCUUUUUUACCUGCCAAUCAAACUGCUACAAGACAACACCCUGAUCUGGCAUGGACAUAAUCAAGCUUUGGUCAUUCCGGAAGUCGUGUAGCAUGCUCCAAUUUGAAGUGACUGAGAUCUUUUGUGACUUACAGAGGAGAAGGAAAUGUUUUAAAAAUUGGCUUAUGCCAGUCUCCUUACUCUGAAAUUCUCAAUUUUCUUGUAUUACAGGAUAAAUAUAAAUAUCAUCUCACCAAAUUG
This 1077-nucleotide long non-coding RNA is filed under the name Homo sapiens (human). Its description in RNAcentral is "PREDICTED lncRNA (TCONS_00189020)". The stretch from base 620 to 895 matches the Rfam family "SOX2 overlapping transcript exon 3". Lineage: Eukaryota; Metazoa; Chordata; Mammalia; Primates; Hominidae. The record is from RNAcentral.